RNAcentral lists this ribosomal RNA (465 nucleotides) under Vreelandella stevensii. Its description in RNAcentral is "partial 16S ribosomal RNA". It matches the Rfam family "Bacterial small subunit ribosomal RNA", at positions 338 to 795 of the family's 1533-position model. The record is from RNAcentral. Lineage: Bacteria; Pseudomonadati; Pseudomonadota; Gammaproteobacteria; Oceanospirillales; Halomonadaceae.
CCUACGGGGGGCUGCAGUGGGGAAUAUUGGACAAUGGGGGGAACCCUGAUCCAGCCAUGCCGCGUGUGUGAAGAAGGCCCUCGGGUUGUAAAGCACUUUCAGUGAGGAAGAACGCCUGGUGGUUAAUACCCAUCAGGAAGGACAUCACUCACAGAAGACGCACCGGCUAACUCCGUGCCAGCAGCCGCGGUAAUACGGAGGGUGCGAGCGUUAAUCGGAAUUACUGGGCGUAAAGCGCGCGUAGGUGGCUUGAUAAGCCGGUUGUGAAAGCCCCGGGCUCAACCUGGGAACGGCAUCCGGAACUGUCAAGCUAGAGUGCAGGAGAGGAAGGUAGAAUUCCCGGUGUAGCGGUGAAAUGCGUAGAGAUCGGGAGGAAUACCGGUGGCGAAGGCGGCCUUCUGGACUGACACUGACGCUGAGGUGCGAAAGCGUGGGUAGCAAACAGGAUUAGAUACCCGGGUAGUC